RNAcentral lists this transfer RNA (80 nucleotides) under Deinococcus arenae. RNAcentral describes it as "tRNA-Leu". Lineage: Bacteria; Thermotogati; Deinococcota; Deinococci; Deinococcales; Deinococcaceae. The record is from RNAcentral.
CCGCUCGGUGGCGAGGUUCACGCCGGCCGUGAGCACGCCGGGCGCGCGCUUCAGGGCGCGUUCCACCCGCGCCGAGCAGU